GGAGCAGAAUGAAAAUGAGGCCCAGUGGAGAAGUGACAUUCCCAAGAUCACCCUGCCAGACCCCAAGCCUGUUUGAGUUGUGGCCCAUGCUACCUCCCACCUAUUCUCCUAAUGCUUCCAUCUCUAAGUGUGUGCAUCAUCUACAGGUAUCUUCUUAGACCAAGUCUAGAAACAGUCUUAGGACAAUAACAAUUCCAUUCUAGAAAGAAUCUCCCAACAUUUCUUCUAUCUCAACCUCAACUGCAUCUGCCUGUGAACUUCCAGCUUACCAAGGCUCUAUAUCUUCUGGCAGUGACAAAGGCUCCUUCCAUGAUAUGUAUUCAUUUCCUACCACUGUAGUGGAAGAGAGACUAUCCCUGUCUUUACACCCGGUAGCAUUUCCAACAGUAAGCUGUGAGAUUCUGCUUGAAAUCACCUCUCAAACAAAUAAAAAACAGACCUGGGAAAUGUGCUACACUCAUUCUGCUGAAGAAAUUGGGCAAGAAUGUUUUCUAAGACCGCGAACUCCAGAUUUGCGAUGUGGCAAAUCCUGAAGCGUACAUGGAUAUCUCUCACAGCUAAAGUAUCCCUCACCCCUACCCAGUGCUUCUUACCCCUGGCGCGAGAGAAUCACCUGCGGGGAGGAAAACUUUCAAAAUCCCUUAAACCCAAGUUGUAACCGAUCAAUUAAAUCAGAAUCCUUGCAGUUGGAUCUGAAAAAAAUACGGUUUAAAGUUGUGCAGGUGAUUACAAUGUGUAGGCACGCCACAAAACCAUGGGUUUAACCAGCAACCUUUGUUAGAAAUGAUUUCUCAAAUGAAUGUAAAAACGUUUGCUGCUGAAUUGUGACCUUUCCAUUUUACUUGCUUUUCCUACAAAGUAUAUUUUGCAGACCCAGGCAGUGCUGCUUGCUCUGUUCUUGAUUCACCGAGUGCCGUGUGUGCUCAGUGCAUCCUGUGCACUGGUCACUGUGCUGUGUGCCCUGGCCUGGGUGAGCAUCAUUCUUCGG
RNAcentral lists this long non-coding RNA (988 nucleotides) under Pongo abelii (Sumatran orangutan). Its description in RNAcentral is "lincRNA". Lineage: Eukaryota; Metazoa; Chordata; Mammalia; Primates; Hominidae. The record is from RNAcentral.